Molecule: long non-coding RNA, 266 nt
Organism: Octopus sinensis (East Asian common octopus)
Lineage: Eukaryota; Metazoa; Mollusca; Cephalopoda; Octopoda; Octopodidae
Exons: 3
Source: RefSeq, a predicted model, not a curated record
AUGCCUUGUGACCACUGUAUUUAUAAUAAACGUGGCAGCUAGAAAGACAGACAUACUGCAGAAGAGUUUGUACCUAAAUAGGUUAGCCCCUGCCCAGUUGAACUUCGCCUGACAUGCUGAGGUCGCAGGUCAAAGGGAGAUGAUCAAUCAAUUUUUGACAGGACAAAGAAAACCUUUUUUUGCGCCUGUUGAUCAUUGUGAUUUGGACGACCGAGAAUUCUUGGAUUCAGUUUCGAAUCUAGGCUUGGAGAAGGAAGUAUUAAUUC